AUCGCUUCCUCUCAUUAAGACAGCGCUUGUGAAACUUCAAAUACAUCUGUUGUUUAAAUUUAUUUUCUUCCAAUAGUCGAUGACUCGGAUGCUGAAAUGGAGGAAAUGGUUUGGGCAUAGAACCCACAGGCGGACUACUUCCAGAAAGGAACCCAUGAGGAGAACCACUCAACUUCGACGACAUUAGGCCAGAGUUUUCAGGUGGAGUUGACCCAAAGAAAAAGCCAAUUGAAUUGCUUGGUGGGCUUUCUGAGACAAUCCCAUUGCGAUUACGCCCGCUCCCAUAUAUUCUGAAGUUGCUAGGAUACAAGCGUUGUCUAUGUGAUGACUGAAGCUUGUUGGUGCCUUUGUUUUGUCUCCUCCGAGAAAUACCAUGAGGAGCCUCUUCGGUACCAUUAUUUCCAGA
This 406-nucleotide unclassified non-coding RNA is filed under the name Hevea brasiliensis (rubber tree). The record is from RNAcentral. Lineage: Eukaryota; Viridiplantae; Streptophyta; Magnoliopsida; Malpighiales; Euphorbiaceae.